Molecule: ribosomal RNA, 403 nt
Filed under: Verrucomicrobiota bacterium
Lineage: Bacteria; Pseudomonadati; Verrucomicrobiota
Description: Verrucomicrobia bacterium partial 16S ribosomal RNA
Rfam family: Bacterial small subunit ribosomal RNA
Source: RNAcentral
UGGGGAAUAUUGCACAAUGGGCGCAAGCCUGAUGCAGCAACGCCGCGUGAACGAUGAAGGUCUUCGGAUCGUAAAGUUCUGUUGCAGGGGAAGAUAAUGACGGUACCCUGUGAGGAAGCCCCGGCUAACUACGUGCCAGCAGCCGCGGUAAUACGUAGGGGGCUAGCGUUAUCCGGAUUUACUGGGCGUAAAGGGUGCGUAGGUGGUCUUUCAAGUCGGUGGUUAAAGGCUACGGCUCAACCGUAGUUAGCCUCCGAAACUGGAAGACUUGAGUGCAGGAGAGGAAAGUGGAAUUCCCAGUGUAGCGGUGAAAUGCGUGGAUAUUGGGAGGAACACCAGUAGCGAAGGCGGCUUUCUGGACUGCAACUGACACUGAGGCACGAAAGCGUGGGUAGCAAACAGG